UACGAAGGUGGCGAAUGUUACUCGGAUUCACUGGGCGUAAAGCGUCGGUAGGUGGUGUGUUAAGUCAGAGGUGAAAGCCCCGCGCUCAACGUGGGAAUUGCCUUUGAAACUGACGCACUUGAGAAUAUCAGAGGAUGGCGGAAUAUCCGGUGUAGAGGUAAAAUUCAUAGAUAUCGGAUGGAACACCCAUGGCGAAGGCAGCUAUCUGGGAUAUUUCUGACACUGAGCGACGACAGCGUGGGGAUCAAACAGG
This 253-nucleotide ribosomal RNA is filed under the name uncultured bacterium. RNAcentral's name for it is "partial 16S ribosomal RNA". It matches the Rfam family "Bacterial small subunit ribosomal RNA", at positions 524 to 776 of the family's 1533-position model. The record is from RNAcentral.